GACGAACGCUGGCGGCGUGCUUAACACCUGCAAGUCGAACGGAAAGGCCCUGCUUUUGUGGGGUGCUCGAGUGGCGAACGGGUGAGUAACACGUGAGUAACCUGCCCUUGACUUUGGGAUAACUUCAGGAAACUGGGGCUAAUACCGGAUAGGAGCUCCUGCUGCAUGGAGGGGGUUGGAAAGUUUCGGCGGUUGGGGAUGGACUCGGGGCUUAUCGGCUUGUUGGUGGGGUAGUGGCUUACCAAGGCUUUGACGGGUAGCCGGCCUGAGAGGGUGACCGGCCACAUUGGGACUGCGAUACGGCCCAGACUCCUACGGGAGGCAGCAGUGGGGAAUAUUGCACAAUGGGCGGAAGCCUGAUGCAGCAACGCCGCGUGCGGGAUGACGGCCUUCGGGUUGUAAACCGCUUUCGCCUGUGACGAAGCGUGAGUGACGGUAAUGGGUAAAGAAGCACCGGCUAACUACGUG
Molecule: ribosomal RNA, 468 nt
Filed under: uncultured bacterium
Lineage: Bacteria
Description: partial 16S ribosomal RNA
Rfam family: Bacterial small subunit ribosomal RNA
Source: RNAcentral